GAUGCUGUAGCACAGUGGUUAAGUGUGCUUGAUUUGGGAUCAAAAGGUCUUGCGUUUGAGUCUUUGCCGUGGCU
Molecule: non-coding RNA, 74 nt
Organism: Gymnothorax javanicus (giant moray)
Lineage: Eukaryota; Metazoa; Chordata; Actinopteri; Anguilliformes; Muraenidae
Source: the annotation of a GenBank genome assembly